Molecule: ribosomal RNA, 425 nt
Filed under: uncultured bacterium
Lineage: Bacteria
Description: partial 16S ribosomal RNA
Rfam family: Bacterial small subunit ribosomal RNA
Source: RNAcentral
GUUAGGAAUAUUGGACAAUGGGCGCAAGCCUGAUCCAGCCAUGCCGCGUGAACGAUGAAGGCCUUCGGGUUGUAAAGUUCUUUAGCCGAUGAUUAUAAUGACUGUAGUCGGAAAAUAAGCCCCGGCUAACUUCGUGCCAGCAGCCGCGGUAAUACGAAGGGGGCGAGCGUUAUUCGGAAUCACUGGGCGUAAAGCGUGCGUAGGCGGUCUCGUAAGUUAGGAGUGAAAGCCCAGGGCUCAACCUUGGAAUUGCUCUUAAAACUGCAAGGCUAGAAUCUCGGAGAGGAUAGCGGAAUUUCCAGUGUAGCAGUGAAAUGCGUAGAUAUUGGAAGGAACACCAGUGGCGUAAGCGGCUAUCUGGACGAGUAUUGACGCUGAGGCACGAAAGCGUGGGGAUCAAACAGGAUUAGAUACCCGAGUAGUCC